RNAcentral lists this long non-coding RNA (955 nucleotides) under Selaginella moellendorffii. Its description in RNAcentral is "long non-coding RNA (SMOE_LNC000994)". The record is from RNAcentral. Lineage: Eukaryota; Viridiplantae; Streptophyta; Lycopodiopsida; Selaginellales; Selaginellaceae.
GACUUACAAAUUCACUGACGAUGAAACGAUAGGCGAGAAAGGGGACGAUCAGCCCCCAAAUCACAGCCGUCUUGGUGGUCUGCUUGUUAAACCGGAAGUGCUCCGCCUGGUUCUCCCUCAUGUAGAGCCACUCCUCGAGGUGCUUGUUGGGCUUGAACUCCAUCCCGCCCACCAUCGCUCUAGCUCUAGAUCUAAAACAAGUUUUAGGGUUCUUGAGAAAGACGAAGAGAAAAGAAUUUAGGGUUCUUGAGAACGCUAUCCUCCCAUUUGUAACUUAAGCUCGGGAUCGUUGCUAAAUCCCGCGACAGCGCCAGAGGCGGAUGCCCGGAACUUAAACACAAUCGCGCCAGUUCCCUUCUUGCAAUUCUUCGCUGGCGCUACGAUCUUCUCAAUCGGCCCAAACAAUCCCAGAGCCUCGCGGAGCUUGGCCUCGUCGUAUCCGGCGCUGCAAUUCCAGCUCGCGCACACUGUUCUCUCGCAGGCCUCGCCGCUCACGCCGCUGGCGACCUUGAUCCGGGCGAGCUCAUCGAGAGAGAUCGCGGCGGCCUUGGCCACGGACGAGGAUGCCCCCGAUGGUUUGCUAGUGGGCUUCUUGAUGACGAGAUUGAGGCCCGAGACCUGGGAUUUCUUCUUCUUGCGCUUGGGCGGGGGUUGGAUCUGCGGGCCUUUGAGGAUGCUGGAAUACAACUCACAGUCAUAGCGCUCGCGCUUGCUGUCGUCACAGAGUACCUUAUAGGCGUCCUGGAGGGCCUGGAAAUCCCUAGCCGCGGUCGCCUGAUCGUCCAGGCGCUUGUCCGGGUGGCAGCGCAGCGAUUGCGCCCGGUAGGCGCUGCGGAUCUGUGCCGAGGAUGCGUAGGCGCCGCCGUCCAAGCCUCCCUGGAGACCUAGAACCGUGUAGAGAUCCUUGCGCUCUUGCUGCCCCCCUUUCUUCAUCUUUCCCGAGAGCCCAGCCCUA